RNAcentral lists this ribosomal RNA (469 nucleotides) under uncultured bacterium. RNAcentral describes it as "partial 16S ribosomal RNA". It matches the Rfam family "Bacterial small subunit ribosomal RNA", at positions 28 to 507 of the family's 1533-position model. The record is from RNAcentral.
GACGAACGCUGGCGGCGUGCUUAACACAUGCAAGUCGAACGGAAAGGCCCUGCUUGCAGGGUGCUCGAGUGGCGAACGGGUGAGUAACACGUGGGUGAUCUGCCCCUUACUUUGGGAUAAGCCUGGGAAACUGGGUCUAAUACUGGAUAGGACCAUGCUGUAGGUGGUGUGGUGGAAAGAUUAGUUUCGGUAAGGGAUGAGCUCGCGGCCUAUCAGCUUGUUGGUGGGGUAAUGGCCUACCAAGGCGUCGACGGGUAGCCGGCCUGAGGGGGUGGACGGCCACAUUGGGACUGAGAUACGGCGCAGACUCCUACGGGAGGCAGCAGUGGGGAAUAUUGCACAAUGGGCGCAAGCCUGAUGCAGCGACGCCGCGUGGGGGAUGACGGCCUUCGGGUUGUAAACUCCUUUCAGCCAUGACGAAGCCCUUGUGGUGACGGUAGUGGUAGAAGAAGCACCGGCUAACUACGUG